AGAGCGAACGCUGGCGGCAGGCCUAAUACAUGCAAGUCGAACGGAUCCUUCGGUAUUAGUGGCGGACGGGUGAGUAACACGUGGGAACGUACCCUUUGGUUCGGAACAACUCAGGGAAACUUGAGCUAAUACCGAAUGUGCCCUUCGGGGAAAAGAUUUAUCGCCAUUGGAGCGGCCCGCGUCUGAUUAGCUAGUUGGUAGGGUAAAGGCCUACCAAGGCUACGAUCAGUAGCUGGUCUGAGAGGAUGAUCAGCCACACUGGGACUGAGACACGGCCCAGACUCCUACGGGAGGCAGCAGUAGGGAAUCUUGCGCAAUGGGCGAAAGCCUGACGCAGCCAUGCCGCGUGAAUGAUGAAGGUCUUAGGAUUGUAAAAUUCUUUCAGCGGGGACGAUAAUGACGGUACCGCAGAAGAAGCCCGGCUAACUUCGUGCCAGCAGCCGC
RNAcentral lists this ribosomal RNA (444 nucleotides) under uncultured bacterium. Its description in RNAcentral is "SSU rRNA". It matches the Rfam family "Bacterial small subunit ribosomal RNA", at positions 26 to 518 of the family's 1533-position model. The record is from RNAcentral.